AUGGUCCCAGAACAGGUUCGUCAAUAUGAGUUGAAGCAAAGCAAGAAGAAGUUGAGGUUUGAAAUUGAGUCAAAAGAGUUUGCUGAAAAGAAGAAGCAGAGGAGAUCUGCAGAUGGUGCCAAGGGUGGUAAAUUUGGCAAGGUGAAGAAGAGGUUGAGUACUGUUGCUGAGGAAGGUGGUACACCUCAGUGGACCACGUGUUGCUGGAAUGAAGAAGAAUCUUGGCAAGAGAACCGCUGA
This 240-nucleotide ribosomal RNA is filed under the name Triticum aestivum (bread wheat). RNAcentral describes it as "partial small subunit ribosomal RNA". Lineage: Eukaryota; Viridiplantae; Streptophyta; Magnoliopsida; Poales; Poaceae. The record is from RNAcentral.